Cryptomeria japonica (Japanese cedar) is the source of this 3237-nucleotide long non-coding RNA. RefSeq lists it as uncharacterized. The record is from RefSeq and is a predicted model, not a curated record. Lineage: Eukaryota; Viridiplantae; Streptophyta; Pinopsida; Cupressales; Cupressaceae. The transcript has 4 exons.
AGAACUUGUGUUCCAUGAAAUAGAACUCAGGAGACUUGCACCCUAAAAAUAACAUAUGAAAACGCGUUUAAAUCUUCUUCAAUACUUGGCUAUGUUUAUAUUUUUGUGUUAUAUAUCAAACAAUAAACGCAGUUUAAAAAAAAGCCGUUGAAACGUAUGAAUUUAUAGCGCUCUGGUUUCCCAAGCUUGUGCAGGGUGCAGCUACAGUGGCCAAUAGAGGAUGGAAACGCUUGCUAUCAGUGGGGCGAAUGGUUCUGCAGCUGUCCUUGUUGAUUGGCAAAAUAACGGGGAAAGUUUUAAAAACGUAGGGUUUCAUUUGUCAACUGAAUUGGUGGUGGAGGAAUAGCAGUGAAAUGCAGGUGCUGAAAAUCCAUGGCUAUGAAUUAGGGUAUUCCAAGACAAAAGUGCCGGCAGUGGAUAUCGAUGAUCGCAGGUAUGGCCAAGGCAUAAAUCAAAUCUCAUAGCGAUGGAAAGAUACCAUUUCUUCAGCUCAAGUUCCUAACAAUUUAAUCCUCAGAGUGAAACUUUAGCACAUUUAAUGAGGGAUGAGACAGUAAAAGAGGUUGCUCUUGCAAGCAUGUUGCAUGUACUUUGGUCUGUGCAUCAAGUGAUUUUUUUGAUGAGGUCAUAGACAACAUUCCUGGCACAUUUGAAUAGUGUGUUGGUGAUUUUCUUCAGUCUAGUUCAUUUGUGUUUUUACUGCUGCAGGUUUGCCAUUUCAUUCAGUAAGAAAACUUAUUAGUCAUAUGUUCAUAUUUGCAUUUAUUGUGCAGGUUUGCCAUUUCAUUUAUUCUAAAAAACUUAUUAGUCAUGCUUCUCUUUUCAAGAAGUUAGAAGUUACAAACUGCAACUUUCCUCUCUUCUAGAUAGUGAUCCUCAUUACUCUUCAUGGCCCUCACUUACCAGGAAUUGGAACAUAGUAUUUACAUUGAGUACUUUAAAUUUGUAGCACUCAGUCAGAGUGAAUUACUCCAUGAUUUCAUUUGAAAAAUUCAUGAAUGACAGUUUGUCUAUUUUCAUAUCAUUUUUUUCUGUCAAAUCAUAGUAUGCUUCAAGUUCCCAAAAUACCAUGAAACAAAUUAUUCACACAAAGUAUUCUGGGUUUUAGAAAAAUGAUGGAUGUGAACUGCUGUAACCUUUGUUAAGGACCAUGGGUAUCUGGUUCAUUUUAUGGAGUCCAUGUGUAUUUGUUCCUACAAGAAUUCCAUUAAUUAACUCUGAGGUGUUACAAAAAUGUUCCAGUGGUCCAAUGUGACACAAUUUUUCCUGCACAGUUAAUGGACAAAUUUGAACUUCCCCGUUUGGCUCCUGUUGUAACACUGCUUAAUGUAAGUGUUCUCUAAAAAUUGGUGGCAUAUUACACCAGUUGAGGAUUUUGUUUUACUAUAACAGCUAUUUAGUGAGAGAAAACAUGUCCAAGAAAAAAGGGAAAAAAAGUGUUGUAUGCAUUUGUUAUCUAAAAUUAAUUAUAUUUAUGAGACAAGGUUUGUUUAUAAGGCACAAAUGCUCUAAAAUCUUUGCUGGUCAGGAAGAAAACUUUGGGUUGGAAGUCCAUGGGUUGAUUUGUAGCAUUGUCCUUGUCUCCGUUACUAAUAUUGGUUAAAAGUGCUUUUGUCUUUGUGGGUCUGCCUGCCUUGUGAUUAUUGUGAAUAGUUAGUGUUUCUCUAUAAAGAAUUAUGAGCUUUCUCUAACCAAAGUUUCAUAGUUAGUUGAGAAUUUUAUUCCACCAUGUUAUCUGACUACCUUCGCACCUGUCAAAAAUUACGUCUAAAGAAUGAAAAAGAAUGUUUUUUGUGUGUUAAUCCUAUAUUGAUAAUAGCUGUGAUACAAACAAGGUUUAGAAGGGCACUUCUUGCAUUAAAAGUUUUAUCAAUUUAGAAGCAUACCUUGGGUGCGACUUUGCAAGUCUCUAGGUUGAUGUGUUAGCAUUUUCCCCAUCUAUGUUGGUAACCAUCAGAAGGUCCACAAAGCCGACAAGCACCUCUAAUUGUGAUUGACAUCCUCCAUAGGAGUACGAGAUAUCUAUUAUAUUGUUUCUUCUCUUUUUCUCCACUUUUGACUAAGUUCUAUUUCUCCAGCAUAAUGAUGGUCAUGCCGCUCUAAAGGCAGAGAUGUAAGGGAGGUUUUGAAAGCUAUAUGCUUCAAAAUAUUGGAAGGUUGCAAAAUUAUUUUCAUUCGGAUUUUCCCAACAACUUAUCCUGCUGAGAAGCUUCAUCUUUGGCAUUUGGCUAAAGAAUUAGGAGCAACAUACUAUAUUAGAUAAAUCUGUACACAUGUUGUUUCUCUUGACCUAGGAAUUGAUAAAGCAUGCUGGGUGGCAUGAGAUUUAAACUCCAUAUUCAUCUUCAUCUGAAGCAUCCAACCCAAGCCCCGAGGUCAUCAAUUGGUUCAAAUUCAGCAUCAAUUUUAACCACUAUCGAUUGGAAUGCCACUCCCACUUAGGCAGGACCCACAGAGGACCCAGCCACCUGGGAGGAAUCUGGGUAGAAUCCAUGGGGGACCAGGCUCGGCCGGUAACUUCGGGCAGAAGCAUUGCUUUUUGUUAGUUGAGCCAGGAGAAAUGCAUGUGAAUGUAGUAACACAGCCAAAGAGUGGCUACGUUUUACAAUUCCAGGAAUUUCUAUGUUUUCAUGGAAAUCUAGGCUUCUCGCUGCUGUAGAUUGCCUGGAACUUAUGCUUGUUCGAACAUUCUAGAUUAUUUAGAAAAAAAUCAUCAAGAUUAUAGUGAUAAACAGUGAAACCUCUGUGUGAGAAUUUGAAAGAAAUUUAUGUGUUUUAACAUUGAAAACAAAUAGGUUCAAUUUGAAGUCACUUUGUUCACAUAUUAAACCUUACAGGUAAAGGAGUUAGGGAGAAAAAAUGGCACAUAUAUUAUAAGAACUGGUCAGGUAUUUGUUGAGCAGAGCUGUGGCAUAGCUUCAAUAUUUUGUGGAGAUGUGAUGAAGAGGCUAGAUUUUUACUCAACGUCUAUUUGCACAGAAAUACAGAUUUUCAUAGCAGGCCCAUAUUUCAGUAGAAACCCUAAUGUGAAUGCAUGGAACGGAGGGCAAGAUUUGGGAAGACUGUUUCUGUCAUAUAAGAGAACGCACAAUGUUGCAAAGGGUGUGUAACUGGAUGGAUUAAUAUGUAAGAUUUUUGGUGCAUUCGAAACACUUAAACUUAUCACUCCAGAUAUAUUUUUGAUGUCGGUUGAAUUGAUAUCUACAGAAAAAUUCAUGAAUGUUUGUUUCUUCUUGG